CCUACGGGUGGCAGCAGUGGGGAAUAUUGCACAAUGGGCGAAAGCCUGAUGCAGCAACGCCGCGUGAGCGAUGAAGGCCUUCGGGUCGUAAAGCUCUGUCCUCAAGGAAGAUAAUGACGGUACUUGAGAAGGAAGCUCCGGCUAACUACGUGCCAGCAGCCGCGGUAAUACGUAGGGGGCUAGCGUUAUCCGGAAUUACUGGGCGAAAAGGGUGCGUAGGUGGUUUGUAAAGUCAGAGGUGAAAGGCUGUGGCUCAACCGUAGUAAGCCUUUGAGACUGGGGAACUUGAGUGCAGGAGAGGAGAGUGGAAUUCCUAGUGUAGCAGUGAAAUGCGUAGAUAUUAGGAGGAACACCAGUUGCGAAGGCGGCUCUCUGGAAUGUAACUGACACUGAGGCACGAAAGCGUGGGGAGCAAACAGGAUUAGAUACCCGGGUAGUC
Molecule: ribosomal RNA, 439 nt
Filed under: uncultured bacterium
Lineage: Bacteria
Description: partial 16S ribosomal RNA
Rfam family: Bacterial small subunit ribosomal RNA
Source: RNAcentral